AGCUCUGUAAGCGUAUACCAAAGUUGUUGCAGUUAAAACGCUCGUAGUCGGAACUUGGCCGUUCCGGAAGUGAGCACGUCGUGUGCGCGCUUUGCGGGGACGGCUUUUGUGGUGUGCGUAGGAUGAGGUACUUUUAUUAGUAAACGUCUUCACGCAGCCACUGUUUACUGUGAGAAAAUCAGAGUGCUCAAAGCAGGCAUUUGCCGUGAAUGUAUUAGCAUGGAAUAAUAGAAUAGGACUCGGUUCUAUUUUGUUGGUUUGUUAGGGCUGAGUAAUGAUUAAGAGGGACAGUUGGGGGCAUUUGUAUUUCGGCGCUAGAGGUGAAAUUCUUAGAUUGCCGAAAGACAAACUGCUGCGAAAGCGUCUGCCAAGGAUGUUUUCA
RNAcentral lists this ribosomal RNA (382 nucleotides) under uncultured eukaryote. RNAcentral's name for it is "SSU rRNA". It matches the Rfam family "Eukaryotic small subunit ribosomal RNA", at positions 587 to 972 of the family's 1831-position model. The record is from RNAcentral.